AUUGAACGCUGGCGGCAGGCCUAACACAUGCAAGUCGAGCGGAUGAAGGGAGCUUGCUCCUGGAUUCAGCGGCGGACGGGUGAGUAAUGCCUAGGAAUCUGCCUGGUAGUGGGGGAUAACGUCCUGAAACGGGCGCUAAUACCGCAUACGUCCUGAGGGAGAAAGUGGGGGAUCUUCGGACCUCACGCUAUCAUAUGAGCCUAGGUCGGAUUAGCUAGUUGGUGGGGUAAAGGCCUACCAAGGCGACGAUCUGUAACUGGUCUGAGAGGAUGAUCAGUCACCCUGGAACUGAGACACGGUCCAGACUCCUACGGGAGGAAGCAGUGGGGAAUAUUGGACAAUGGGCGAAAGCCUGAUCCAGCCAUGCCGCGUGUGUGAAGAAGGUCUUCGGAUUGUAAAGCACUUUAAGUUGGGAGGAAGGGCAGUAAGUUAAUACCUUGCUGUUUUGACGUUACCAACAGAAUAAGCACCGGCUAACUUCGUG
This 484-nucleotide ribosomal RNA is filed under the name uncultured bacterium. RNAcentral's name for it is "partial 16S ribosomal RNA". It matches the Rfam family "Bacterial small subunit ribosomal RNA", at positions 30 to 507 of the family's 1533-position model. The record is from RNAcentral.